Molecule: long non-coding RNA, 1184 nt
Filed under: Panax ginseng (ginseng)
Lineage: Eukaryota; Viridiplantae; Streptophyta; Magnoliopsida; Apiales; Araliaceae
Description: long non-coding RNA (PGIN_LNC002577)
Source: RNAcentral
UUUGGUAUUUUUAAUAAUUAAAAUCUAAUUUUUCUUAUUUUUUAAAACAUUUUCGAAAAAUCAGAAAUUAAAAUAAUUAAAACUGUCGCUAAAGGCCCCUAUAGUGACAGAACCGUCGCUAUAGGUGUUCUUGAGCCUACCCAGAUCUUCAUAAGGCAGAACCGAGUGGCCUACUUUGACCGUGAAUAACUCUCUCAUCUUAACGAAUUUGGACAAUCUAUAAAUUGGGUCUUGUAGAGGAAAUACAAGACUACAAGAUCCAACAAUCAUAACCUCUAAACAAACAUCAGAUCUGGGAUAAAUCAGCCAUCAAAGUAGCUACCAAAGCUGUUCUUCACGAAGAACAGUUCGAGGUGCCUACUUUGGACCUCUAUAACUUGAUGAUCGUGUAACGUUUAUGUGAUCUAUCAAUUCCAGUGUGUAGACAACAUGUAGGACUACAACUCUAACACUUAACAUCAUCAUAAAAACAAGAAAUCAAGCAUCUAAAGUAUGGUCAAACCUUGUCAGAAAAAUUAACACUUAGAAAAUUCUGGGCUGCCCAGAAUUUUCUGGUCAAUGCCGGUCAACCCACUUUGACCUUAAAUAAAUCUUAAUCCGUAACAUAUAUGGACCUGAUUCUUUUUGGAGGUUAAAUAACACAUAACAAGCUACACAUAUCAACCUUUAGAACACAAAACACAUUAAAGAUGACCGAGAUAUAAGGCCUGACAUUUUCCAAAAUAAUAUUUUCUGGACACUUAGAAUAUUUUCUGGGUUUGAAGAACAGCCGGUCAAUGUCGGUCAACCCACUUUGACCGCUUAUAAAUCCCGAUAUACAAUAGCUAUGAACUUUAUUCCUUUUGGAGAUUAAAGACCACAUAUCAGGCUACCUAUAACAAUUGAGCAUCUCGAGUUGUUGGUAGGGUAGUGAUGUUGGCCAUGAUUUGUUGCUAGAUUCCUCCAAUAAUACACUAAUAAUUGGUUUCUUCCUUUAAUAAUGCACAAGGGUAGUUUAGACUUCUCAUGUCUACCAUGAAGGGCAUUAUAGACAUUAUCCAUAACCAUUAGGGUUUAUCACUUUAGAUUUUAAAAUUCCAUAAAUAAUAUAACUAAUAAUACACUAAAAGGGUAUUUUGGUAAUUUUACAUAUAAUUUCAUGGACAUUUUUGUAUAUAGCAAUUAAAUGUAGUAUUUAAUCACUA